GACUACGGCCCUACCACCCUGGACGUGCCUGAUCGUGUCUUGAUCUUGGAAGCUAAGCAGGGUCAGGCCUGGUUAGUACUUGGAUGGGAGAAAGAAAGGAAGGAAGGAAGGAAGUUAUAGCUA
This 123-nucleotide ribosomal RNA is filed under the name Callithrix jacchus (white-tufted-ear marmoset). The record is from RNAcentral. Lineage: Eukaryota; Metazoa; Chordata; Mammalia; Primates; Cebidae.